GACGAACGCUGGCGGCGUGCUUAACACAUGCAAGUCGAACGGAAAGGCCCUGCUUUUGUGGGGUGCUCGAGUGGCGAACGGGUGAGUAACACGUGAGUAACCUGCCCUUGACUUUGGGAUAACUUCAGGAAACUGGGGCUAAUACCGGAUAGGAGCUCCUGCUGCAUGGUGGGGGUUGGAAAGUUUCGGCGGUUGGGGAUGGACUCGCGGCCUAUCAGCUUGUUGGUGGGGUAGUGGCUUACCAAGGCUUUGACGGGUAGCCGGCCUGAGAGGGUGACCGGCCACAUUGGGACUGAGAUACGGCCCCGACUCCUACGGGAGGCAGCAGUGGGGAAUAUUGCACAAUGGGCGGAAGCCUGAUGCAGCAACGCCGCGUGCGGGAUGACGGCCUUCGGGUUGUAAACCGCUUUCGCCUGUGACGAAGCGUGAGUGACGGUAAUGGGUAAAGAAGCACCGGCUAACUACGUG
RNAcentral lists this ribosomal RNA (468 nucleotides) under uncultured bacterium. RNAcentral describes it as "partial 16S ribosomal RNA". It matches the Rfam family "Bacterial small subunit ribosomal RNA", at positions 28 to 507 of the family's 1533-position model. The record is from RNAcentral.